GGUGCUGGUUAGCAAGCAAUAAUACCGAGGUUUGCUCUGUGUUAGCUCAACUCUAUCCGGUGUUGGUUGUCUUUAUGUGAAGCAACAGAGGAUUUAAUGGAUGUAUGCAAUAGAAUGCAGCAAGAACCAGAGAUUUCCUCGAGAUUAUAGUUGAUGCUGGCCCAGAUACCCAACUCUCAGAUAAUGAGAUCGCAACUCUCUUGUCGAUCUCAGGUGAUGCCGCGAUGGUGCCAUUUGCACGAACCAGAAAUUUCUGAUUCACCUUAAAUUGUUACAUUGCAUCCAGAAACUGAUCUGUAGAUUUCCUUUCUUAGAGCUUGAUCCCCCAGAUUUUGCAAAACCAGAGGGUUGCCAUCUAGUCCAUACACUCCACAAAUGGUUGUGUAAUACUCUCUUCGCCCACUUGUUUGAUGACCAUGAACGCAAUGUUGUCAUAUCUCAUAAAGAGCGUAGAGGUUCAUGAAUGCAAGUGGGUUUGCUGUUGUUGCAAGUGUUGUGCUGCUAGGAGUGAUGCAGGUUUUGUUGCAAUUGCUACAUCAUUUGUAGAUAGCUUUUGUUUAGAAGUUUUGUAGCUUUAGUACUCUAAUUGAGAACUUAUGUAUGAAUUUUGGUAUGUUAUUGUUAAUAUCAUUUGGGUUGUAAGUUUUUUCA
Helianthus annuus (common sunflower) is the source of this 651-nucleotide long non-coding RNA. RefSeq lists it as uncharacterized. The transcript is spliced from 4 exons. The record is from RefSeq and is a predicted model, not a curated record. Lineage: Eukaryota; Viridiplantae; Streptophyta; Magnoliopsida; Asterales; Asteraceae.